Molecule: small RNA, 505 nt
Filed under: uncultured Glomus
Lineage: Eukaryota; Fungi; Glomeromycota; Glomeromycetes; Glomerales; Glomeraceae
Description: SSU rRNA
Rfam family: Eukaryotic small subunit ribosomal RNA
Source: RNAcentral
AGCAGCCGCGGUAAUUCCAGCUCCAAUAGCGUAUAUUAAAGUUGUUGCAGUUAAAAAGCUCGUAGUUGAAUUUCGGGGUCAGCAGGUUGGUCGUGCCAAUGGUAUGCACUGGCCUUGCUGAUUCCUCCCUCUUGAUGAGCCGUAAUGCCAUUAAUUUGGUGUUGCGGGGAAUCAGGACUGUUACUUUGAAAAAUUAGAGUGUUUAAAGCAGGCAAGCGCUUGAAUACAUUAGCAUGGAAUAAUGAAAUAGGACGUUCGAUCCUAUUUUGUUGGUUUCUAGGAUUGACGUAAUGAUUAAUAGGGAUAGUUGGGGGCAUUAGUAUUCAAUUGUCAGAGGUGAAAUUCUUGGAUUUAUUGAAGACUAACUACUGCGAAAGCAUUUGCCAAGGAUGUUUUCAUUAAUCAAGAACGAAAGUUAGGGGAUCGAAGACGAUCAGAUACCGUCGUAGUCUUAACCAUAAACUAUGCCGACUAGGGAUCGGAUGAUGUUAAUUUUUAAUGACUC